This 301-nucleotide ribosomal RNA is filed under the name uncultured bacterium. RNAcentral describes it as "partial 16S ribosomal RNA". It matches the Rfam family "Bacterial small subunit ribosomal RNA", at positions 509 to 807 of the family's 1533-position model. The record is from RNAcentral.
CAGUCGCCGCGGUAAUACGAAGGGUGCAAGCGUUAAUCGGAAUUACUGGGCGUAAAGCGUGCGUAGGCGGUUUGUUAAGUCUGCUGUGAAAUCCCCGGGCUCAACCUGGGAAUGGCAGUGGAUACUGGCAAGCUAGAGUGUGUCAGAGGAUGGUGGAAUUCCCGGUGUAGCGGUGAGAUGCGUAGAGAUCGGGAGGAACAUCAGUGGCGAAGGCGGCCAUCUGGGACAAUACUGACGCUGAGGCACGAAAGCGUGGGGAGCAAACAGGAUUAGAUACCCCCGUAGUCCCUGUCUCUUAUAC